AUCCCUCUGUAGUUCAUGAUGACUGGGCUUUCACAAGUCUGUGUGAGAUGUGCUGCGUUCACACCUUGUUACAUCAGCACAUUAUCCAUCUGAUG
Molecule: small nucleolar RNA, 95 nt
Organism: Callithrix jacchus (white-tufted-ear marmoset)
Lineage: Eukaryota; Metazoa; Chordata; Mammalia; Primates; Cebidae
Source: Ensembl